UACGUAGGGGGCUAGCGUUGUCCGGAAUCAUUGGGCGUAAAGCGCGUGUAGGCGGCCCGGUAAGUCCGCUGUGAAAGUCGGGGGCUCAACCCUCGGAUGCCGGUGGAUACUGUCGGGCUCGAGUACGGAAGAGGCGAGUGGAAUCCUGGUGUAGCGGGUGAAAUGCGUAGAUAUUGACUCGGAAGGCCGGAGCCGAAGGGGCCCCACG
Molecule: ribosomal RNA, 208 nt
Filed under: uncultured bacterium
Lineage: Bacteria
Description: partial 16S ribosomal RNA
Rfam family: Bacterial small subunit ribosomal RNA
Source: RNAcentral